This 85-nucleotide transfer RNA is filed under the name Alphaproteobacteria bacterium. Its description in RNAcentral is "tRNA-Tyr". It matches the Rfam family "tRNA". Rfam says of the family: Transfer RNA (tRNA) molecules are approximately 80 nucleotides in length. Their secondary structure includes four short double-helical elements and three loops (D, anti-codon, and T loops). RNAcentral also lists the same sequence under 1 other name. Lineage: Bacteria; Pseudomonadati; Pseudomonadota; Alphaproteobacteria. The record is from RNAcentral.
GGAGGGGUGGCAGAGCGGUCAAUUGCAACGGACUGUAAAUCCGUCGACUUAGUCUACGAUGGUUCGAAUCCAUCCCCCUCCACCA